GAGUUUGAUCGUGGCUCAGAUUGAACGCUGGCGGCAUGCCUUACACAUGCAAGUCGAACGGUAACAGGUCUUCGGAUGCUGACGAGUGGCGAACGGGUGAGUAAUACAUCGGAACGUGCUCAGACGGUGGGGGAUAACGAGGCGAAAGCUUUGCUAAUACCGCAUACGAUCUAAGGAUGAAAGCAGGGGACCGCAAGGCCUUGCGCGUUUGGAGCGGCCGAUGGCAGAUUAGGUAGUUGGUGGGAUAAAAGCUUACCAAGCCGACGAUCUGUAGCUGGUCUGAGAGGACGACCAGCCACACUGGGACUGAGACACGGCCCAGACUCCUACGGGAGGCAGCAGUGGGAA
Molecule: ribosomal RNA, 348 nt
Filed under: uncultured microorganism
Description: bacterial SSU rRNA
Rfam family: Bacterial small subunit ribosomal RNA
Source: RNAcentral